This 468-nucleotide ribosomal RNA is filed under the name uncultured bacterium. RNAcentral's name for it is "partial 16S ribosomal RNA". It matches the Rfam family "Bacterial small subunit ribosomal RNA", at positions 28 to 507 of the family's 1533-position model. The record is from RNAcentral.
GACGAACGCUGGCGGCGUGCUUAACACAUGCAAGUCGAACGGAAAGGCCCUGCUUUUGUGGGGUGCUCGAGUGGCGAACGGGUGAGUAACACGUGAGUAACCUGCCCUUGACUUUGGGAUAACUUCAGGAAACUGGGGCUAAUACCGGAUAGGAGCUCCUGCUGCAUGGUGGGGGUUGGAAAGUUUCGGCGGUUGGGGAUGGACUCGCGGCUUAUCAGCUUGUUGGUGGGGUAGUGGCUUACCAAGGCUUUGACGGGUAGCCGGCCUGAGAGGGUGACCGGCAACGUGGGGAGGGAUGGAGGGCGCAGCAGCGACGGGGGGGCAGAGGGGGGAAUUAUGCAAGAGGGGCGGCAGGCGGGAGACGAAAGCCCGCGGGGCGGAAGACGGGCUUGUGGGGUAAAAACCGUUUGCGCCGGAAAGAAGGGGGGAGGGACGGUAGGGAAUAAGAAAGCCCCGGCUAACUACGUG